RNAcentral lists this ribosomal RNA (468 nucleotides) under uncultured bacterium. RNAcentral describes it as "partial 16S ribosomal RNA". It matches the Rfam family "Bacterial small subunit ribosomal RNA", at positions 28 to 507 of the family's 1533-position model. The record is from RNAcentral.
GACGAACGCUGGCGGCGUGCUUAACACAUGCAAGUCGAACGGAAAGGCCCUGCUUUUGUGGGGUGCUCGAGUGGCGAACGGGUGAGUAACACGUGAGUAACCUGCCCUUGACUUUGGGAUAACUUCAGGAAACUGGGGCUAAUACCGGAUAGGAGCUCCUGCUGCAUGGUGGGGGUUGGAAAGUUUCGGCGGUUGGGGAUGGACUCGCGGCUUAUCAGCUUGUUGGUGGGGUAGUGGCUUACCAAGGCUUUGACGGGUAGCCGGCCUGAGAGGGUGACCGGCCACAUUGGGCCUGCGAUACGGCCCAGACUCCUACGGGAGGCAGCAGUGGGGAAUAUUGCCCAAUGGGCGGAAGCCUGAUGCAGCAACGCCGCGUGCGGGAUGACGGCCUUCGGGUUGUAAACCGCUUUCGCCUGUGACGAAGCGUGAGUGACGGUAAUGGGUAAAGAAGCACCGGCUAACUACGUG